AUUGAACGCUGGCGGCAUGCCUUACACAUGCAAGUCGAACGGCAGCACGGACUUCGGUCUGGUGGCGAGUGGCGAACGGGUGAGUAAUGUAUCGGAACGUACCUUUCAGUGGGGGAUAACGUAGCGAAAGUUACGCUAAUACCGCAUAUUCUGUGAGCAGGAAAGCAGGGGAUCGCAAAGACCUUGCGCUGAUUGAGCGGCCGAUAUCAGAUUAGCUAGUUGGUGAGGUAAAGGCUCACCAAGGCGACGAUCUGUAGCGGGUCUGAGAGGAUGAUCCGCCACACUGGAACUGAGACACGGUCCAGACUCCUACGGGAGGCAGCAGUGGGGAAUUUUGGACAAUGGGGGCAACCCUGAUCCAGCCAUGCCGCGUGAGUGAAGAAGGCCUCGGUUGGUAAAGGACGUCUUUCGGUCCGGGAACGGAAAGUACGCCGAAUGGGCGUAAUACCCUACG
RNAcentral lists this ribosomal RNA (454 nucleotides) under uncultured bacterium. RNAcentral describes it as "bacterial SSU rRNA". It matches the Rfam family "Bacterial small subunit ribosomal RNA", at positions 30 to 479 of the family's 1533-position model. The record is from RNAcentral.